Panicum virgatum (switchgrass) is the source of this 766-nucleotide RNA transcript. RefSeq lists it as uncharacterized. The transcript has 4 exons. The record is from RefSeq and is a predicted model, not a curated record. NCBI's taxonomy places the organism in Eukaryota, Viridiplantae, Streptophyta, Magnoliopsida, Poales, Poaceae.
CAUUUUUUUUCCUCCUCCGUUUCGGCAUAGUGCUUCCCUCUUGCAUCGAUUUCCCAUCCUGUGUCUCCCCUCCGCAAGCCACAGCCACACCCUUACGGAUGGUCCCAUCCUCUCUUGUGCCAAGGGCCAUGGAAUUGCUGCCUCAGGAGGACAUUGUAUUGCAGGGAGGAUGUGCAGGAAUUAUUUCUUUCUUAUUAUCAAGAGAAGAAGACAGGUGCCCAGCCAAGUGAGCUGCGACCGAGCGAGGCUCUAAAGCCGGUGAUGACUGCCAGAAGAACUAAUUUUGUACAAAUUUGAUCCCUUUAUUCAUGAAGGUAGAAGUGACGAGUACUCUAAUGGCUACUCUUAUUCAGUUAUUCAGGAUACAUGCAAAUCUUAAUUGUUUUCAGUAUAUUUGUUGUAAAGUUCCGGCAACUGUCCAGUUAGGGAAAUAUAUUUGAAUUUGAAAUGUUUUCCAGAAUAGAUUUAUUAUGAUUAGGAUGCAUGAUUCCAAUCUAUAAAGCAAGGAUUCUAGAUGUUCAAUGAGAUAUUUAUUUGAAGAAGCUAAUCCUAAAAAUGCAAAUGCCAAGUCUUGCCAUAUUAAGAAUUAAUUGACUAUUCGUGAUCCUCAUGCUAGGAUUGGAUGCGUUGGUGUGUUUUGGCAAAGCAACAAAGAAAGUGUUAUAUUUGAUUAGUAGUAAAAGAAAUCUGAAUCCGAGGCCUCUUGGUUUAUGACAAUAAAUGGGAUCAUAAUUUACCUGAAACCUGAUUUGACAUGGUUGUGGAA